GUGAACGCUGGCGGUAGGCCUAGCACAUGCAAGUCGAACGGCAGCACAGUAAGAGCUUGCUCUUACGGGUGGCGGGUGGCGGACGGGUGAGGAAUACAUCGGAAUCUACUUUUUCGUGGGGGAUAACGUAGGGAAACUUACGCUAAUACCGCAUACGACCUACGGGUGAAAGCAGGGGAUCUUCGGACCUUGCGCGAUUGAAUUAGCCGAUGUCGGAUUAGCUAGUUGGCGGGGUAAAGGCCCACCAAGGCGACGAUCCGUAGCUGGUCUGAGAGGAUGAUCAGCCACACUGGAACUGAGACACGGUCCAGACUCCUACGGGAGGCAGCAGUGGGGAAUAUUGGACAAUGGGCGCAAGCCUGAUCCAGCCAUACCGCGUGGGUGAAGAAGGCCUUCGGGUUGUAAAGCCCUUUUGUUGGGAAAGAAAAGCAGCAGGUUAAUACCCCGCUGUUCUGACGGUACCCAAAGAAUAAGCACCGGCUAACUUCGUG
Molecule: ribosomal RNA, 491 nt
Filed under: uncultured bacterium
Lineage: Bacteria
Description: partial 16S ribosomal RNA
Rfam family: Bacterial small subunit ribosomal RNA
Source: RNAcentral